This 429-nucleotide ribosomal RNA is filed under the name uncultured bacterium. Its description in RNAcentral is "bacterial SSU rRNA". It matches the Rfam family "Bacterial small subunit ribosomal RNA", at positions 355 to 776 of the family's 1533-position model. The record is from RNAcentral.
UCGAGGAUUUUUCUCAAUGGGGGCAACCCUGAAGGAGCGACGCCGCGUGGAGGAUGAAGGGCUUCGGCUCGUAAACUCCUGUCACCGACGAACAAGGCAUCCGGAUUAAUAAAUCGGAUGCUUGAUGGUAGUCGGAGAGGAAGGGGCGGCUAACUCUGUGCCAGCAGCCGCGGUGAUACAGAGGCCCCAAGCGUUGUUCGGAUUUACUGGGCGUAAAGGGUGUGUAGGGGGUCGUGUAAGUUUGACGUGAAAUCCCGUUGCUCAACAACGGAACUGCGUCGAAUACUGCUCGGCUGGAGGUUCGGAGAUGAGGGCGGAAUUCUCGGUGUAGCGGUGAAAUGCGUAGAUAUCGAGAGGAACGCCGAUGGCGAAAGCAGCCCUCAAGACGAAAUCUGACCCUGAAACACGAAGGCCAGGGGAGCAAACGGG